Bombina bombina (fire-bellied toad) is the source of this 2964-nucleotide long non-coding RNA. RefSeq lists it as uncharacterized. The record is from RefSeq and is a predicted model, not a curated record. The transcript is spliced from 2 exons. Lineage: Eukaryota; Metazoa; Chordata; Amphibia; Anura; Bombinatoridae.
CACAAAUUAGGCUUGACAGAGCUGGAGUCCUGUUCUGAGUACAAUGAAGACAACAAUUAAUCAAGCAAUGAGAUUCAGCAGGAACCAACCCACAGCUUCAAGGUCAGAGACACAGUGUGCAUCAGACAGCUGAAUAAAGCAAAGAAAGGAGGAUUUCCAUACGGCCCACCCACCAAAGUUGUGGCCAUCACCUGUACUGCCAUCCUCACAGCCCAGGAGCCCAUCUGGAUCCAUGCAUCUAGGGUAAAGCUCUGUCCAAAGAGGGGUGAAGCUGGCUGUCUAGUCCCUUCUGAAACAUCUAUACCGCCCGUCCAGAAUGAUCCAGGACAACAAUUGUGCCUAAAGAGGGGUGAAGUGUUCACAAAGUCCCUUCUGUAACACCUAUAUCAUCCUCAACUGCCAGUCCAAAGAGGGGUGAAGUUGGUCGCAUAGUCCCUUCUGUAACAUCUAUAUCCACAGCACAUAACCGCAACACAAUGAUCACUAUUCAGGGUUCUCCCUGCUUGGUGUAUCUCUUCCUCCUCUCCUCAGUGCUCUUGGUUGCAGUACCAGCAUGGAUAAUAGCCUCCUGCUAUUAUGAGACGCCGGACGAACAGCAUAUUAUUGCCCCUGCUUGUAAUUACCUCACCCCUCCCCCUGACUCACCCCCGGAACAAAACACAACCAAGAACUUAACAACUCCGCCAGCACCACCCGUUCCAGCUCUCCGUAGGACCCAGAGAUCAUCCCCUAUUAAGAUGACCACGUACCUUACCAUGACAGCCUCACAAGUGGCCAUUACACAAACCACAACACAACCUUUCCGUACGACUUUUUGGUAUAAUCUUCCAACACCCAUGUUGCCUCUUACUCCUUUGACUUUUGUAACAUUGUUUCAUGCCCCCCUGUACCAUGGCAGUGUAACUUAUACCAAAAGAUCCCUUCCCGGUCUAUCUAUAUUUGUGUAGAGGAUAAUUAUUGGGGCAAGGACUGUAAGUAUUGGGAAUCGGUGGGAUGGAAUACAGGGCCAGGCCCUGACUGGGGAUAUAAACCCAAGAGUGCAUUAGACAGGAAGGAUAAAAAUGGUAAAUCCUUAAUUAGUAGAAUGACCCUUUUCAAGUCCGGGUCCUGCCUUAACACAGGCAGGACCGGACACAGUAUGAGACUAACCUUGACCAUUGAAAACCCCAGUCCAUACGAUAGUGGCUCUUAUAUUCUCUCCGUAUGGGCAAGGGGUGGGGCAGGCUCCCCCAAGGGUAGAUUUCAUAUCAAAGAUAUGGUUAAUUCUUCUAAAUGGGGCAAAAUUGCCUCUGCACUUAACAACAAAACCCCAACUGAAUCCCAGUCCCAAUCACAAACUAUGGUUGCUAUAGCUGAUCCCUCACCAAGGGAUACUAUGGCCGCAGAAACAGGUUACUCAGACCGAAACCUUUGGUUAGAAUGGAUGGCCUUUUCAGCCAAACAAUAUAAUAAGUCAAAUUGUUAUGUCUGUGGUAAUCCCCGCCCCCAUUUAGGUACUGUCCCCCUUAACAUCCCCAGUAGCACUGAGUCCUGUUUGCUCAGCCUUUAUACUAAGACCUUUGUCAAUCAGUCAGCCUGUGCCACCUGGAAAGAGGAAUACCCCACCCUUACUAAAACCCCACACCCUGGUGAGGGCAUUACUAUAUAUUCUGGUAACUACACUUGCUAUAGGGGCAAAGGUAAGGGUAGAUUCCUAGGUAACUUCACAUCUAAUUACUGCUCUAAGUAUAGUAAUCUCACCACUCAAAAUCACACUCAGUCCUUAGGUGACAUAUAUUGGAUUUGCGGGGAUAUGAAAAUCCUCACUAGGUUAGAGGGACAGUGGUCUGGGAAAUGUGGUUUGGGGAACACAUACACACACACUCACCCCACCUCCUCUCACCGUACAUGGUGAGAGGCUAUCCCAGGUAGUUUUGACCCCCAUGUAUACAUAGACGCUAUAGGGGUCCCAAGUGGGGUCCCAGAUGAAUUUAAGGCCCGUGACCAGGUCAAAGCUGAAUUUGAAUCCAUCUUCCCCAUCAUAACUGCUAAUAAAAAUGUUUACUGGAUAAAUAAUAUAUUUUAUAAUCAACAGCGUUUUGUUAAUUACACCAGAGAUGCCCUUAAGGGUAUAGCUGAACAACUUGGCCCAACCUCUUACAUGACAUUCCAAAGCCGCAUGGCUUUAGAUAUGCUCUUAGCAGAGAAAGGAAGGGUUUGUAAAGUCAUUGAUGCCCAAACUGGUGGGUCCUGCUAUACGUUUAUCCCUGAUAACACAGAACCCACAGGAAAGGUUACGCUUGCUAUUAAAAAAUUAGAAGAAUUAUCCAUUGAAUUAAAGAAAAACUCUGGCAUUGAUAACCCCUGGGAUAAAUUCUUCACUGGUGUGGGUCUGUUAGAUUGGCUAAAAAAUAUUGGUACCAUUAUUGUUUUUAUUGCUCUCCUUAUCCUUUUCUGUUAUUGUGGUUUUAAAAUAUUUGUUUCAUGCAUUGCUAAGUGUACUGCAAAGCCUGCUACUUCUAAUUCCCAUUGUCCGCAAUAUCUGCAUGUUUGACCGUCCACACAUGCCUCUGUACCAUACCUCAAUGUCCCACUCCAUCCCAGACGCUAGCCCUAAGGUAGUCAUUGUUAUGACUAAAGAGGGGAAUUGUCAGGUAGUGUUGCAUAUUACACUUGUCCACUCCACACCGCUUGUAAUGCUGUGUGCUGAUGUGUUUUCAUUCCACUCCACUCGCAAUAUUAUGUGCUUCCACAAAAUCCCAUGACCUAUAUGUUGCAUAUAUUAUUCUGUAACUACAAAUGUUCAUUUUUCUUUCACUUUCUUGCAACAAAUAUUAUGUUAUGCUAAGUACCAAAUAAGGCUAUAAGGUUAUAAGGGUAUUUGCUUAGCCAAUAGUAUUUUGUUACAUAUCGGAUGCCUGAGUGUACCCAUGGCUAUAUAACUUACUGCUGUACCCAUAAUAAACGAGCAUUUGCUAAUGACAA